Molecule: long non-coding RNA, 1119 nt
Organism: Notolabrus celidotus (New Zealand spotty)
Lineage: Eukaryota; Metazoa; Chordata; Actinopteri; Labriformes; Labridae
Exons: 5
Source: RefSeq, a predicted model, not a curated record
CCGUACAAAACUGUUGCGGAUUCACACAUCAACAGCGAACCACCUCUGGCUAGCCCGCUGUUCGCUCCUGCCAGCACCCAGCUGAGCGACAGGUGAAUACAUAGGGGCAUGAAUAACUUUUAUUCAAGAACUUACCGACGAAAUGACAUCUUUUGUAUAAAAAAAGAAGAAGAGAAAAGCACCUUCCAUUGCUCAGGUGUCCCGGAAGAAGACGUCCAGACGUUGACCCGGUUAAUGUGUUUCAGCUGGAUGUGAACCUUGGGAUCAUCUUUGACAGUAAGCUCAGAUUUGAUAAACAGAUCAGCUCCGUUGUUAAGACGAGCUUCUUCCAGCUCCGACUUCUUGGCAAGCAGGUUCAGAAUGCUGCUGCACGCCUGCAGACUGGGAAGAGACGACGUGAUCACAUAACGCCUGUACUGGCUUCUCUUCACUGUGUGUUCACUGCCCCCGUGGCUCGGCCCGCCGCUGCCCCAGUGGAGGUGUAAUUGCACUGCUGUGAAGAACCACGGAAGCCCGCCGAUACCCAUCCACUCUGGCAGGUCAAUCACAGCUGAGGGAAUACACAGAGGAAAAAUAACCCCACAAGCAAUACUACAUAAGGACAGAGACAGCAAAGCCCCGCACCAAGACACGACUUCAAAAGUGAGUCCUGUGGCCCCGCCAUCGGUCGUCAUGGAGGUCUCCAUGGUAACCGGAGGCCGAAAAUCCUGACCCACUGCGCCUGCUCUACCUCAACCCUAGCAUGCCACCCCUGCCCCACAAGUAACAAAGAAACCCACACACACAUGUACACGUAUGCAGAUUCGCUCAACCAGGGCAUGAUGAGGCAAUGAUGGAACGUGAGACCGACUUUCCCUCGAUUACACUACGUAACUCUGGUUUGUGGAAAGAGGUGUCCCUGAAACUGAGCAAUUCUGCUCUGUCAUGUGUGAAUAUGAUGUUGAGCAUAUUAAAAGAGCCUUUCUACUUCAACUAACAAGCUCAAAACCGACACAUCGUGCAAUUAUAUGUCACACAACAUGCCCAGAACACACGCUCACACUCACUUGAGCACUGUGCAAACUGUGGAUGAAUCUCUGAAACUCUCAUUAAAAACACUCUGGACUCUGUGUACAUUGA